Cinara cedri is the source of this 490-nucleotide non-coding RNA. Lineage: Eukaryota; Metazoa; Arthropoda; Insecta; Hemiptera; Aphididae. The record is from the annotation of a GenBank genome assembly.
AGAGGCGCAUUAAGGGAUGUACAAAACAGGCAUUCACCCCAGAUGGUGAAAUUUCAAAAGCGGUUAAAUUAAAAUUAUUUUAGGUAUCAAUAUGUAAAGGACAGAGAAAGCAAUGUUUAGAUAAGAAAAAUAAAGAAAACUUUAAAGUAUCCAUUGGAAUAGGGGGGAUUAUUUUCGGUUUGAUGUGCCACUGAUUAGAAAACAAAUGUGAAUUUUUUUUAUUAAAAAUCGUUUAGAAUUUAGAAUCUGAGAAUCGUUUUGUCGUAAACAAUAGUUUAUCGUUGCUUAAAGGUAUACAUUAAAUUACCUACAAUAGACGCUGCAUCUACCCCUAUAAUCCUAGGACGUCUUUUUUAAGGGUCGAGUUAAGAAUUUAAAAAGUACUCCAUACUAAAAUAUUGAAAAACAUCUAUUUUGCCGCAAAAGUUCCGUUGAAAUCGGUUCAGUGAUUUAAGAGAUUAUCAGAGACAGUAAAAUGGACAUUUAAAUU